Molecule: ribosomal RNA, 440 nt
Filed under: uncultured bacterium
Lineage: Bacteria
Description: partial 16S ribosomal RNA
Rfam family: Bacterial small subunit ribosomal RNA
Source: RNAcentral
CCUACGGGGGGCUGCAGUGGGGAAUAUUGCACAAUGGGGGAAACCCUGAUGCAGCAACGCCGCGUGAGCGAUGAAGGCCUUCGGGUCGUAAAGCUCUGUCCUAAGGGAAGAAUACUGACGGUUCCUUAGGAGGAAGCCCCGGCUAACUACGUGCCAGCAGCCGCGGUAAUACGUAGGGGGCUAGCGUUAUCCGGAAUUACUGGGCGUAAAGGGUGCGUAGGCGGCCCUUCAAGUCAGAGGUGAAAGGCUACGGCUCAACCGUAGUAAGCCUUUGAAACUGAAGGGCUGGAGUGCAGGAGAGAGGGGGGAAAUCCCCGGUGUGGCGGUGAAAGGCGAGGAUAUGGGGGGAAACCCCAGUGGGGAGGGGGGCUUUCUGGAUGGUAACGGACGGUGGGGCAGGAAAGGGUGGGGGGCGAACAGGAUAAGAUCCCCUAGUAGUC